This 287-nucleotide ribosomal RNA is filed under the name uncultured bacterium. Its description in RNAcentral is "partial 16S ribosomal RNA". It matches the Rfam family "Bacterial small subunit ribosomal RNA", at positions 334 to 618 of the family's 1533-position model. The record is from RNAcentral.
AUCCCCUACGGGGGGCAGCAGUGAGGAAUAUUGGUCAAUGGGCGCGAGCCUGAACCAGCCAAGUAGCGUGAAGGAUGACUGCCCUACGGGUUGUAAACUUCUUUUAUAAAGGAAUAAAGUGAGGCACGUGUGCCUUUUUGUAUGUACUUUAUGAAUAAGGAUCGGCUAACUCCGUGCCAGCAGCCGCGGUAAUACGGAGGAUCCGAGCGUUAUCCGGAUUUAUUGGGUCUAAAGGGAGCGGAGAUGGGUUGUUAAGUCAGUUGUGAAUGUUUGCGGUUGAACCGUAA